AAUGAACGCUGGCGGCAUGCCUAACACAUGCAAGUCGAACGAGACCUUCGGGUCUAGUGGCGCACGGGUGCGUAACGCGUGGGAAUCUGCCCUUGGGUUCGGAAUAACAGUUAGAAAUGACUGCUAAUACCGAAUGAUGUCGUAAGACCAAAGAUUUAUCGCCCAGGGAUGAGCCCGCGUAAGAUUAGGUAGUUGGUGUGGUAAAGGCGCACCAAGCCGACGAUCUUUAGCUGGCUGAGAGGAUGAUCAGCCACACUGGGACUGAGACACGGCCCAGACUCCUACGGGAGGCAGCAGGUGGGGAAUAUUGGACAAUGGGCGAAAGCCUGAUCCAGCAAUGCCGCGUGAGUGAUGAAGGCCUUAGGGUUGUAAAGCUCUUUUACCCGGGAUGAUAAUGACAGUACCGGAGAAUAAGCUCC
RNAcentral lists this ribosomal RNA (419 nucleotides) under uncultured bacterium. RNAcentral's name for it is "bacterial SSU rRNA". It matches the Rfam family "Bacterial small subunit ribosomal RNA", at positions 29 to 494 of the family's 1533-position model. The record is from RNAcentral.